Molecule: ribosomal RNA, 787 nt
Filed under: Levilactobacillus brevis
Lineage: Bacteria; Bacillati; Bacillota; Bacilli; Lactobacillales; Lactobacillaceae
Description: bacterial SSU rRNA
Rfam family: Bacterial small subunit ribosomal RNA
Source: RNAcentral
GUCUGAUGUGAAAGCCUUCGCGUCUUAACCGGAGAAGUGCAUCGGAAACUGGGAGACUUGAGUGCAGAAGAGGACAGUGGAACUCCAUGUGUAGCGGUGGAAUGCGUAGAUAUAUGGAAGAACACCAGUGGCGAAGGCGGGCUGUCUAGUCUGUAACUGACGCUGAGGCUCGAAAGCAUGGGUAGCGAACAGGAUUAGAUACCCUGGUAGUCCAUGCCGUAAACGAUGAGUGCUAAGUGUUGGAGGGUUUCCGCCCUUCAGUGCUGCAGCUAACGCAUUAAGCACUCCGCCUGGGGAGUACGACCGCAAGGUUGAAACUCAAAGGAAUUGACGGGGGCCCCGCACAAGCGGGUGGAGCAUGUGGUUUAAAUUCGAAGCUACCGCGAAGAACCUUACCAGGUCUUUGACAUCUUCUGCCAAUCUUUAGAAGAUAAAGACGUUCCCCUUCGGGGACAGGAAUGACAGGUGGUGCAUGGUUUGUCGUCAGCUCGUGUCGUGAGAUGUUGGGUUAAGUCCCGCAACGAGCGCAACCCUUAUUAUCAGUUGCCAGCAUUCAGUUGGGCACUCUGGUGAGACUGCCGGUGACAAACCGGAGGAAGGUGGGGAUGACGUCAAAUCAUCAUGCCCCUUAUGACCUGGGCUACACACGUGCUACAAUGGACGGUACAACGAGUUGCGAAGUCGUGAGGCUAAGCUAAUCUCUUAAAGCCGUUCUCAGUUCGGAUUGUAGGCUGCAACUCGCCUACAUGAAGUGGAAUCGCUAGUAAUCGCGGAUCAGCAUGCCGCG